This 272-nucleotide ribosomal RNA is filed under the name uncultured Thauera sp. RNAcentral's name for it is "partial 16S ribosomal RNA". It matches the Rfam family "Bacterial small subunit ribosomal RNA", at positions 1113 to 1382 of the family's 1533-position model. Lineage: Bacteria; Pseudomonadati; Pseudomonadota; Betaproteobacteria; Rhodocyclales; Zoogloeaceae. The record is from RNAcentral.
AGUUGCCAGCAGUUGAAGGUGGCACUCUGGACGAGACGUCGGCCGUUAGACAAACGGAGGAAGGGUGGGACGACGUCAAAUCCUCAUGGCCCUUAUGGUAGGGCUUCACACGUCAUACAAUGGUCGGUACAGAGGGUUGCCAAGCCGCGAGGUGGAGCCAAUCCCUUAAAGCCGAUCGUAGUCCGGAUCGUAGUCUGCAACUCGACUACGUGAAGUCGGAAUCGCUAGUAAUCGCAGAUCAGCAUGCUGCGGUGAAUACGUUCCCGGGUCUU